RNAcentral lists this ribosomal RNA (406 nucleotides) under uncultured bacterium. RNAcentral describes it as "partial 16S ribosomal RNA". It matches the Rfam family "Bacterial small subunit ribosomal RNA", at positions 30 to 526 of the family's 1533-position model. The record is from RNAcentral.
AUUGAACGCUGUCGGCAGGCCUAACACAUGCAAGUCGAACGAGUGGCGGACGGGUGAGUAAUGUCUGGGAAACUGCCCGAUGGCGGGGGGUAAAUACUGGAAACGGUAGCUAAUACCGCAUACCAUCGGAUGUGCCCCGAUGGGAUUAGCUAGUAGGUGGGGUAACGGCUAACCUAGGCGACGAUCCCUCGCUGGUCGUAGAGGAUGACCAGCCACACUGGAACUGGGACACGGUCCAGACUCCUACGGUAGGCAGCAGUGGGGAAUAUUGCACAAUGGGCGCAAGCCUGAUGCAGCCAUGCCGCGUGUAUGAAGAAGUCCUUCGGGUUGUAAAGUACUUUCAGCGAGGAGGCGUUACUCGCAGAAGAAGCACCGGCUAACUCCGUGCCAGCAGCCGCGGUAAUUC